GCUUAUACUCGACCGUCAGCGGCACGUGCGAUCGCGCGUUUCGGCGCGCGGUCACGAAGCCCUGACGAGUAGGAGGGUCGCGGCGGUGAGCGCAGAAGGGCUGGCCGCGAGGCCGUCUGGAGCCGCCGUCGGUGCAGAUCUUGGUGGUAGUAGCAAAUACUCCAGCGAGGCCCUGGAGGACUGACGUGGAGAAGGGUUUCGUGUGAACAGCCGUUGCACACGAGUCAGUCGAUCCUAAGCCCUAGGCGAAAGCCGAUGUCGAUGCGGUGUGGAUUUCUUUUUUUCUUUUACUACUACGACGAAGAGCGAGACAAAUGUUUAUUCGUUCGUUUCGACGUGUAUCGGAAAGUCGAUCUCGUACACACCCAUCGGGCGAAAGGGAAUCCGGUUCCUAUUCCGGAACCUGGCAGCGGAACCGUCAAAAAGUCGGGC
RNAcentral lists this ribosomal RNA (432 nucleotides) under Acalles gadorensis. Its description in RNAcentral is "eukaryotic LSU rRNA". It matches the Rfam family "Eukaryotic large subunit ribosomal RNA", at positions 1340 to 1663 of the family's 3401-position model. The record is from RNAcentral. Lineage: Eukaryota; Metazoa; Arthropoda; Insecta; Coleoptera; Curculionidae.